Molecule: ribosomal RNA, 1372 nt
Filed under: uncultured bacterium
Lineage: Bacteria
Description: bacterial SSU rRNA
Rfam family: Bacterial small subunit ribosomal RNA
Source: RNAcentral
GACGAAUGCUGGCGGCGUGCCUAAUACAUGCAAGUCGAGCGAACGGACGAGAAGCUUGCUUCUCUGAUGUUAGCGGCGGACGGGUGAGUAACACGUGGAUAACCUACCUAUAAGACUGGGAUAACUUCGGGAAACCGGAGCUAAUACCGGAUAAUAUUUUGAACCGCAUGGUUCAAAAGUGAAAGACGGUCUUGCUGUCACUUAUAGAUGGAUCCGCGCUGCAUUAGCUAGUUGGUAAGGUAACGGCUUACCAAGGCAACGAUGCAUAGCCGACCUGAGAGGGUGAUCGGCCACACUGGAACUGAGACACGGUCCAGACUCCUACGGGAGGCAGCAGUAGGGAAUCUUCCGCAAUGGGCGAAAGCCUGACGGAGCAACGCCGCGUGAGUGAUGAAGGUCUUCGGAUCGUAAAACUCUGUUAUUAGGGAAGAACAUAUGUGUAAGUAACUGUGCACAUCUUGACGGUACCUAAUCAGAAAGCCACGGCUAACUACGUGCCAGCAGCCGCGGUAAUACGUAGGUGGCAAGCGUUAUCCGGAAUUAUUGGGCGUAAAGCGCGCGUAGGCGGUUUUUUAAGUCUGAUGUGAAAGCCCACGGCUCAACCGUGGAGGGUCAUUGGAAACUGGAAAACUUGAGUGCAGAAGAGGAAAGUGGAAUUCCAUGUGUAGCGGUGAAAUGCGCAGAGAUAUGGAGGAACACCAGUGGCGAAGGCGACUUUCUGGUCUGUAACUGACGCUGAUGUGCGAAAGCGUGGGGAUCAAACAGGAUUAGAUACCCUGGUAGUCCACGCCGUAAACGAUGAGUGCUAAGUGUUAGGGGGUUUCCGCCCCUUAGUGCUGCAGCUAACGCAUUAAGCACUCCGCCUGGGGAGUACGACCGCAAGGUUGAAACUCAAAGGAAUUGACGGGGACCCGCACAAGCGGUGGAGCAUGUGGUUUAAUUCGAAGCAACGCGAAGAACCUUACCAAAUCUUGACAUCCUUUGACAACUCUAGAGAUAGAGCUUUCCCCUUCGGGGGACAAGGUGACAGGUGGUGCAUGGUUGUCGUCAGCUCGUGUCGUGAGAUGUUGGGUUAAGUCCCGCAACGAGCGCAACCCUUAAGCUUAGUUGCCAUCAUUAAGUUGGGCACUCUAAGUUGACUGCCGGUGACAAACCGGAGGAAGGUGGGGAUGACGUCAAAUCAUCAUGCCCCUUAUGAUUUGGGCUACACACGUGCUACAAUGGACAAUACAAAGGGCAGCGAAACCGCGAGGUCAAGCAAAUCCCAUAAAGUUGUUCUCAGUUCGGAUUGUAGUCUGCAACUCGACUACAUGAAGCUGGAAUCGCUAGUAAUCGUAGAUCAGCAUGCUACGGUGAAUACGUUCCCGGGUCU